This 484-nucleotide ribosomal RNA is filed under the name uncultured bacterium. RNAcentral describes it as "partial 16S ribosomal RNA". It matches the Rfam family "Bacterial small subunit ribosomal RNA", at positions 29 to 507 of the family's 1533-position model. The record is from RNAcentral.
AGUGAACGCUGGCGGCAGGCCUAACACAUGCAAGUCGAGCGGCAGAAGAGUGCUUGCUCCUGGUUUCAGCGGCGGACGGGUGAGUAAGGGCUAGGAAUCUGCGUGUCAACUGUUGAGAACGGGCUGAAACGGGCGCUAAUACGGCAUUCGUCCUUAGGGCCAAAGGGGGGGAGCUUCGGACCUCAGGCCAUCAGAUGAGUCUAUGUCGGAUUAGCUAGUUGGCGGGGUAAAGGCCUACCAAGGCGACGAUCCGUAACUGGUCUGAGAGGAUGAUCAGUCACACUGGAACUGAGACACGGUCCAGACUCCUACGGGAGGCAGCAGUGGGGAAUAUUGGACAAUGGGCGAAAGCCUGAUCCAGCCAUGCCGCGUGUGUGAAGAAGGUCUUCGGAUUGUAAAGCACUUUUGUUUGGGAAGAAGGGCAGUAAGUUAAUACCUCGCUGUUCUGACGUUACCCAAAGAAUAAGCACCGGCUAACUUCGUG